This 301-nucleotide ribosomal RNA is filed under the name uncultured bacterium. RNAcentral describes it as "partial 16S ribosomal RNA". It matches the Rfam family "Bacterial small subunit ribosomal RNA", at positions 509 to 807 of the family's 1533-position model. The record is from RNAcentral.
CAGUAGCCACGGUAAUACGAAGGGUGCAAGCGUUAAUCGGAAUUACUGGGCGUAAAGCGUGCGUAGGCGGUUUGUUAAGUCUGUUGUGAAAUCCCCGGGCUCAACCUGGGAAUGGCAAUGGAUACUGGCAAGCUAGAGUGUGUCAGAGGAUGGUGGAAUUCCCGGUGUAGCGGUGAAAUGCGUAGAGAUCGGGAGGAACAUCAGUGGCGAAGGCGGCCAUCUGGGACAACACUGACGCUGAGGCACGAAAGCGUGGGGAGCAAACAGGAUUAGAUACCCCGGUAGUCCCUGUCUCUUAUAC